CUGCAUUGGUAAGCAGAUUCUUAACCACUGAGCCACCUGGGGAGCAAUGCUAUUACUUAAGAUGCCUCCAGAUAUCUUCACCUGGAUAACCCAUGGGUACUCCAAAUUUAACAUACAAAACCCAAAUCUGCAUCCAAAUGUUUCCCUCCUGUCUUCCAAUUUCCGUAAAUGGCUCCUCCAUCCACCCAAUCAGCCAAGCCAUACUAUUAUUGCAAAUCUCUGGACAGAAAAAAUUCAUUUAUUUCCCAUCGUUCUCCAAAUUUAACAUUCAUUGGAAUCAUCUGGAAAGCUAAUUAAAGCACAGUUUCCUGAGACUCAUGCCCAGAAAUUCUAAUUCAAUGGUCUGGAAUGGGAUCUAUGAAUUUGCAAUUCUAACAAGCUCACAGGUGACAGCAGGGCUGUUGGGCCAGGGUCCACAGUUUGAGAACCACUGCCCUAGAUAAUGAAAAAAACAUAGACACAUUUCUGUGAGCCGUCAAAUCCCUACUUGGUGAGCAAUCAUUGCCAAAGAAUGAAGGCCCAGGAAGUAAAUCUCCUCUGGAGAAACAAUCUCUGCAUCAACCAGAGACAGGAUAAAUUAAUGAAAUGGCAUGGGAUUUAAUUAUUCCUUCAUUCAUCAACCAUGUUUUGAGUGCCUACUCUCUGCUCGGCACAGUACAAGGCGCUGAGCUAUACAAUGCUGGAUAAAAAAAUGACAUAAUCCAAGUUUUAACAAGUGAACUCAGGCACUCUAUUGAGACUGUAAAAUGGGAAUCAUAAUGCCAUUGUGUAGGCUUUAUGAGA
Bubalus bubalis (water buffalo) is the source of this 783-nucleotide long non-coding RNA. RefSeq lists it as uncharacterized. The record is from RefSeq and is a predicted model, not a curated record. NCBI's taxonomy places the organism in Eukaryota, Metazoa, Chordata, Mammalia, Artiodactyla, Bovidae. The transcript has 2 exons.